GCGAUCGUGGUCCAACGGUAGGACGCGGGUGCGCCACGCCCGCAGUGCCGGUUCGACUCCGGCCGGUCGCU
RNAcentral lists this transfer RNA (71 nucleotides) under Sandaracinaceae bacterium LLY-WYZ-13_1. RNAcentral describes it as "tRNA-Gly". It matches the Rfam family "tRNA". Rfam says of the family: Transfer RNA (tRNA) molecules are approximately 80 nucleotides in length. The record is from RNAcentral. Lineage: Bacteria; Pseudomonadati; Myxococcota; Polyangiales; Sandaracinaceae.